AGGCCGUUAACUCAGUUGGUAGAGUAGUUGACUCUUAAUCAAUCGGUCGCGGGUUCGAGCCCCGCACGGCCUACCA
Molecule: transfer RNA, 76 nt
Filed under: Vibrio sp.
Lineage: Bacteria; Pseudomonadati; Pseudomonadota; Gammaproteobacteria; Vibrionales; Vibrionaceae
Also listed under: 7 other names
Description: tRNA-Lys
Rfam family: tRNA
About the family: Transfer RNA (tRNA) molecules are approximately 80 nucleotides in length. Their secondary structure includes four short double-helical elements and three loops (D, anti-codon, and T loops).
Source: RNAcentral